This 76-nucleotide transfer RNA is filed under the name Chloroflexota bacterium. RNAcentral describes it as "Chloroflexi bacterium (marine sediment metagenome) tRNA-Ala". It matches the Rfam family "tRNA". Rfam says of the family: Transfer RNA (tRNA) molecules are approximately 80 nucleotides in length. Their secondary structure includes four short double-helical elements and three loops (D, anti-codon, and T loops). Further hydrogen bonds mediate the characteristic L-shaped molecular structure. tRNAs have two regions of fundamental functional importance: the anti-codon, which is responsible for specific mRNA codon recognition, and the 3' end, to which the tRNAs corresponding amino acid is attached (by aminoacyl-tRNA synthetases). tRNAs cope with the degeneracy of the genetic code in two manners: having more than one tRNA (with a specific anti-codon) for a particular amino acid; and 'wobble' base-pairing, i.e. permitting non-standard base-pairing at the 3rd anti-codon position. The record is from RNAcentral. RNAcentral also lists the same sequence under 1 other name. Lineage: Bacteria; Bacillati; Chloroflexota.
GGGGCUGUAGCUCAUCUGGGAGAGCACUUCAAUGGCAUUGAAGGGGUACGGGGUUCGAGUCCCCGCAGCUCCACCA